Molecule: ribosomal RNA, 430 nt
Filed under: uncultured bacterium
Lineage: Bacteria
Description: bacterial SSU rRNA
Rfam family: Bacterial small subunit ribosomal RNA
Source: RNAcentral
CGAAGAACCUUACCAAGGCUUGACAUACACCUGCAAAGGCUGGAAACAGUCUCCUCGCAAGACAGGUGUACAGGUGGUGCAUGGUUGUCGUCAGCUCGUGUCGUGAGAUGUUGGGUUAAGUCCCGCAACGAGCGCAACCCUCGUUCUAUGUUGCCAGCGCGUAAUGGCGGGAACUCAUAGGAGACUGCCGGGGUCAACUCGGAGGAAGGUGGGGAUGACGUCAAAUCAUCAUGCCCCUUAUGUCUUGGGCUUCACGCAUGCUACAAUGGCCGGUACAAAGGGCUGCAAUACCGCAAGGUGGAGCGAAUCCCAAAAAGCCGGUCUCAGUUCGGAUUGAGGUCUGCAACUCGACCUCAUGAAGUCGGAGUCGCUAGUAAUCGCAGAUCAGCAACGCUGCGGUGAAUACGUUCCCGGGUCUUGUACACACCGA